AGAGAAGAGAAAAGGCGGAGGUGGAGGAGGAGGAGGCGGGAUUUCUUGUUGCUGCCCGGCGGGUAGGUCAGGCUCCCUCGAGUGACAGCGGAGGUCGGAGGUGUAUGCUGGGCAAGUGUAGAUUGAAGCGCAAAGAGGAGAAAUUGAAGAAAACAGAACACCACCAUCAGCAGCAUCUCUCCCACCAUGUUCAAAACUGAAAGAUGAAGGGGACAGACAGAAUCACAGAAAGUAGAAAAGACAAAUGAAGAUCUGAUCAACUGAACAACCUCCCCCCUGGGCCAUCCACGUUGGCCAGGCCCUGUAACAGAGGAAAUUCCACUAGGAACGAGUCUGGGAGAUUUAGGGUUAACUGAAUUGUGCAGCAAACCAUUAUUUUAAAAAAGAAAAUUUGAAAUUUCCACACACAUACCCACACCUACACACACACCCCUCCUACUUAAUGGUCCUUCUCUUAUGGCUUCAUCUAGGAAGAAGUAUAAAAGUAUCACAAUUUAGUCUGGGGAUGUGGCUCAAGAGCGCCUGGCAUGUGCGGGGCGCUGAGUUCGAUCCUCAGCACCACAUAAAAAUAAAAUAAAGAUGUUGUGUUCACCGACAUUUUAUUUGAUCUACCUAAUACUCAGAAAAAUGUGUAAUUUUAUUAUAAUUAUAUUUUGAGGAUUUUGUGCAUUUUGAAUUUGUAUUAUUCAUCCUGAAAAGGUACAUGUCUUUUUAUAAAAUCUACCUAAUAUAUUUUAUGCUUUUAGUAUAAGAAAUGCUUCUUUGUAUCAUUUAGCAUUUUUGCCUUAAAAUCUGCCUUGAUGUUAAUGCUUUAGCUUUUGUUGUUUUUCUUUGUUUUUGCCUAAUAAACCUCAGGCCAUUCAUUCAUUCUUAUUUAACCUCAGUCAUUUUGUUUUGGUUGUUUCUUUAAUAAACAGCAGAUAGAUUGCUUCUUGUUAUUGUUUUAUUGACUCUAAUCCAAGAAUCUUUUUUUUUUAAUUUUGUAAAGAAGUUUAAUCUUUUCCUUUCUGAUUACUAAUUGAGAAAGUUCAGUACCCACAGUGGCCCAGAACAUAUUAAUGACUUUGUAAGUUAUUUAACAUCUAUAGUCCUUAGUUUUCUUAUCUAUUAAAAAUAGUGAUUGUUAAUAAUAUUGUGAAGAUUAAUUAAUGGGAUAUCCUGGACAUUAGUGACUUCAUUUUGGUUCUGGAACAACAUCUUUGCCUGGGACGGGGUCCUGAGCUGCCAAGAAAAAGAAACUUGGGAUGCCCUGUUUCCAUGUCCCGCCCCCACCUAAGGUUACUAAAUACAGGAAUUAACUUUACCAGACCACCUAUACCCAAGGUCAAUUCUAGCUUAUUACACUCAAGGCCAUUUCCAGCUUGCUCUUUUUCCUUGGUAAAAAAAAAAAAGAUAUAAAAACCUGAUUCAAAUAACUGGCUGUUGUACCACUCUAUGGACAACCUGGCAUGUUUUACCUGUCAAUAAACUUUUUUCUAAACAUGAA
This is a long non-coding RNA of Ictidomys tridecemlineatus (thirteen-lined ground squirrel), 1486 nucleotides long. RefSeq lists it as uncharacterized. Lineage: Eukaryota; Metazoa; Chordata; Mammalia; Rodentia; Sciuridae. The record is from RefSeq and is a predicted model, not a curated record.